RNAcentral lists this transfer RNA (69 nucleotides) under Marmota monax (woodchuck). Its description in RNAcentral is "tRNA.Ala". Lineage: Eukaryota; Metazoa; Chordata; Mammalia; Rodentia; Sciuridae. The record is from RNAcentral.
GUUUGUGGCUCAGUGGUAGAGUGCUCGCCCAGCACAUGCGAGGCCCUGGGUUCAAUCCUCAGUACUACA